GACGAACGCUGGCGGCGUGCCUAAUACAUGCAAGUCGAACGCACAGUUUAUACCGUAGCUUGCUACACCAUACACUGUGAGUUGCGAACGGGUGAGUAACGCGUAGGUAACCUGCCUGGUAGCGGGGGAUAACUAUUGGAAAUGAUAGCUAAUACCGCAUAAUAUUGAUUAUUGCAUGAUAAUUGAUUGAAAGAUGCUAUUGCAUCACUACCAGAUGGACUUGCGUUGUAUUAGCUAGUAGGUGAGGUAACGGCUCACCUAGGCGACGAUACAUAGCCGACCUGAGAGGGUGAGCAGCCACACUGGGACUGUGACACGGCCCAGACGCCUACGGGAGGCAGCAGUAGUGAAUCGUCAGCAAUGGACGAAAGUCUGACCGAGCAACGCCGCGUGAUUGAGGAAGGAUGUCGGGUCGUAAAGCUCGGUUGUAAGAGAAUAACGGGUGUGAGAGUGGAAAGUUCACACUGUGACGGUAACUUACCAGAAAGGAACGGCUAACUACGUG
Molecule: ribosomal RNA, 505 nt
Filed under: uncultured bacterium
Lineage: Bacteria
Description: partial 16S ribosomal RNA
Rfam family: Bacterial small subunit ribosomal RNA
Source: RNAcentral